RNAcentral lists this ribosomal RNA (743 nucleotides) under uncultured bacterium. RNAcentral's name for it is "bacterial SSU rRNA". It matches the Rfam family "Bacterial small subunit ribosomal RNA", at positions 28 to 776 of the family's 1533-position model. The record is from RNAcentral.
GAUGAACGCUAUCUACAGGCUUAACACAUGCAAGUCGAGGGGCAGCAUUUUAGUUUGCUUGCAAACUGAAGAUGGCGACCGGCGAACGGGUGAGUAACGCGUGAGGAACCUGCCUCAAAGAGGGGGACAACAGUUGGAAACGACUGCUAAUACCGCAUAAGCCCACGACCCGGCAUCGGGUUGAGGGAAAAGGAGCAAUCCGCUUUGAGAUGGCCUCGCGUCCGAUUAGCUGGUUGGUGAGGUAACGGCCCACCAAGGCGACGAUCGGUAGCCGGACUGAGAGGUUGAACGGCCACAUUGGGACUGAGACACGGCCCAGACUCCUACGGGAGGCAGCAGUGGGGAAUAUUGCACAAUGGGGGAAACCCUGAUGCAGCGACGCCGCGUGGAGGAAGAAGGUCUUCGGAUUGUAAACUCCUGUUGUUGAGGAAGAUAAUGACGGUACUCAACAAGGAAGUGACGGCUAACUACGUGCCAGCAGCCGCGGUAAAACGUAGGUCACAAGCGUUGUCCGGAAUUACUGGGUGUAAAGGGAGCGCAGGCGGGAAGACAAGUUGGAAGUGAAAUCUAUGGGCUCAACCCAUAAACUGCUUUCAAAACUGUUUUUCUUGAGUAGUGCAGAGGUAGGCGGAAUUCCCGGUGUAGCGGUGGAAUGCGUAGAUAUCGGGAGGAACACCAGUGGCGAAGGCGGCCUACUGGGCACCAACUGACGCUGAGGCUCGAAAGUGUGGGUAGCAAACAGG